Molecule: long non-coding RNA, 1068 nt
Filed under: Capra hircus (goat)
Lineage: Eukaryota; Metazoa; Chordata; Mammalia; Artiodactyla; Bovidae
Description: lncRNA (ENSCHIG00010000068.1)
Source: RNAcentral
AUGCGGUCUGUGCCUGCGUGCUACCCAAACGUCGAUCUGAAUACCACUGAACGCUGGUUUGAAAAUUUCCAUUUUUGUAAUUUGCUUUCCUUUGUUAAGCCAAGACUUGAGAGAAACCUGGCAGUCGUCUCCAAGUCUGGCACGAUUUCCCUUCCGACCCACUCGGUUGGUGGGGAUGUGGAGGGGACCGCACAAGAGAGGAGAGAGAGGGAGGGAGGUGGCUUGAAACUCGCCCGCCCGCCCACCGGGGCCUGCGGAGGGAGCAAGCCCAGCGUCUCAGCCAGGGGGUUUGGCUCCACCUACAGGAAUCUGAGGGCACUCGAAGCAGAUCCCUCUGCCGCCAAGGAAACCAAAGGUGGGGACUUGGACAACUGCUGGAGAAUUUCCCAGCCAAUAGGAAUGGGCUCUAAGGAGCUGACGUUUCUGGUGAGCAGCAAUUGCUGCAACCACCUAAGCAUCAAACAAGCAACCGAUCGGAGCAGAUUUAAUAAACGUCCUGGAGAAGGAGGCUGCAUGCUUAUGGACUUUCAUGGUACCAUAAUGGACCAGGUGCUCUUCCACCCACCUGCUUAUGCUACCAUAGUAAGCACAAAAUCUACAUAUCUGGAGGAAAACAGUAUUUGCUGAAACGAUAAUAGAUGCAGGAAAUUUGUCUGUUAUGGGUAAAUGUCUCCAUGGUUUAACUUUGCACCAUUCUAUUUUGGUUAAAAAUAUCUACAAGGUCAUCCCUUACCAUCUUCCUUUUAAAAUGCACUGGUAAUUCAGGACUUUCCUGGUGGUCCAGUGGUUAAGAUUCUGAGCUUCCAAUGCAAGGAGGUGCAGGUUUGAUCCCUGGUCAGGGAAUGAAGAUCCUGCACACCACAGGGUGUGGCCAAAAAAAUAAUAAAAUACCCUGGUAAUUGAAAUGGCCCGUUUUUCAUCAGGAACUGGGGAUUUUGAAGGGAGUUUGAGGGAGAACGGAUACAUAUAUAUGUAUGACUGAGUUGCUCUGCUGUGCACUUGAAACUAUCACAACAGUGUUAAUUGGCUGUUUAGUUCAGUUCAGUUGCUCAGUCGUGUCUGACUCUU